This 773-nucleotide ribosomal RNA is filed under the name uncultured bacterium. RNAcentral describes it as "bacterial SSU rRNA". It matches the Rfam family "Bacterial small subunit ribosomal RNA", at positions 8 to 798 of the family's 1533-position model. The record is from RNAcentral.
AGAGUUUGAUCCUGGCUCAGGACGAACGCUGGCGGCGUGCUUAACACAUGCAAGUCGAACGGAAAGGCCCUUCGGGGUACUCGAGUGGCGAACGGGUGAGUAACACGUGGGUGAUCUGCCCUGCACUUUGGGAUAAGCCUGGGAAACUGGGUCUAAUACCGGAUAGGACCGCAUGCUUCAUGGUGUGUGGUGCAAAGCUUUUGCGGUGUGGGAUGAGCCCGCGGCCUAUCAGCUUGUUGGUGGGGUAAUGGCCUACCAAGGCGACGACGGGUAGCCGGCCUGAGAGGGUGACCGGCCACACUGGGACUGAGAUACGGCCCAGACUCCUACGGGAGGCAGCAGUGGGGAAUAUUGCACAAUGGGCGCAAGCCUGAUGCAGCGACGCCGCGUGAGGGAUGACGGCCUUCGGGUUGUAAACCUCUUUCACCAGGGACGAAGCGCAAGUGACGGUACCUGGAGAAGAAGCACCGGCCAACUACGUGCCAGCAGCCGCGGUAAUACGUAGGGUGCGAGCGUUGUCCGGAAUUACUGGGCGUAAAGAGCUCGUAGGUGGUUUGUCGCGUUGUUCGUGAAAACUCACAGCUUAACUGUGGGCGUGCGGGCGAUACGGGCAGACUAGAGUACUGCAGGGGAGACUGGAAUUCCUGGUGUAGCGGUGGAAUGCGCAGAUAUCAGGAGGAACACCGGUGGCGAAGGCGGGUCUCUGGGCAGUAACUGACGCUGAGGAGCGAAAGCGUGGGGAGCGAACAGGAUUAGAUACCCUGGUAGUCCAA